GAUGAAGAACGUAGCGAAAUGCGAUAAGUAAUGUGAAUUGCAGAAUUCAGUGAAUCAUCGAAUCUUUGAACGCACCUUGCGCCCUUUGGACAUUCCGAAGGGCAUGCCUGUUUGAGUAUCAUGAACACCUCAACUCUCACGGCUUGUCCGUGAUGAGCUUGGACUUUGGGGGUCUUGCCGGCCUGUGGUCGCCUCCUCUCAAAUGGAUCAGCUUGCCAGUGUUUGGUGGCAUCACAGGUGUGAUAACUAUCUGCGCUUGUGGUUUUCCAUCAGAUAACCUUCAGUGAUAUGGAGGUUCGCUGGAGCUCACAAAUGUCUCUCCUUAGUGAGGACAGCUCUUUGAACGUUUGAUCUCAAAUCAGGUAGGACUACCCGCUGAACUUAAGCAUAUCAAUAAGCGGAGGA
Molecule: unclassified non-coding RNA, 405 nt
Filed under: soil metagenome
Description: partial contains 5.8S ribosomal RNA, internal transcribed spacer 2, and large subunit ribosomal RNA
Rfam family: 5.8S ribosomal RNA (bases 1-121)
Source: RNAcentral